This 484-nucleotide ribosomal RNA is filed under the name uncultured bacterium. Its description in RNAcentral is "partial 16S ribosomal RNA". It matches the Rfam family "Bacterial small subunit ribosomal RNA", at positions 29 to 507 of the family's 1533-position model. The record is from RNAcentral.
AUUGAACGCUGGCGGCAUGCUUUACACAUGCAAGUCGAACGGCAGCGCGGGCUUCGGCCUGGCGGCGAGUGGCGAACGGGUGAGUAAUACAUCGGAACGUGCCCAGUAGUGGGGGAUAGCUCGGCGAAAGCCGGAUUAAUACCGCAUACGACCUGAGGGUGAAAGCGGGGGAUCUUCGGACCUCGCGCUAUUGGAGCGGCCGAUGGCAGAUUAGCUAGUUGGUGGGGUAAAGGCCUACCAAGGCGACGAUCUGCAGCUGGUCUGAGAGGACGACCGGCCACACUGGGACUGAGACACGGCCCAGACUCCUACGGGAGGCAGCAGUGGGGAAUUUUGGACAAUGGGCGAAAGCCUGAUCCAGCAAUGCCGCGUGUGUGAUGAAGGCCUUCGGGUUGUAAAGCACUUUUGGCGGGAACGAAAAGGACUGUGCCAAUACCACGGUUCGAUGACGGUACCCGCAGAAUAAGCACCGGCUAACUACGUG